Molecule: ribosomal RNA, 331 nt
Filed under: uncultured bacterium
Lineage: Bacteria
Description: bacterial SSU rRNA
Rfam family: Bacterial small subunit ribosomal RNA
Source: RNAcentral
UGCGCAGGCGGUUAUGUAAGUUAGAUGUGAAAUCCCCGGGCUUAACCUGGGAAUGGCAUUUGAGACUGCAUGGCUAGAGUGUGUCAGAGGGGGGUAGGAAUUCCACGUGUAGCAGUGAAAUGCGUAGAGAUGUGGAGGAAUACCGAUGGCGAAGGCAGCCCCCUGGGAUAACACUGACGCUCAUGCACGAAAGCGUGGGGAGCAAACAGGAUUAGAUACCCUGGUAGUCCACGCCCUAAACGAUGUCUACUAGUUGUCGGGACUUAAUUGUCUUGGUAACGCAGCUAACGCGUGAAGUAGACCGCCUGGGGAGUACGGUCGCAAGAUUAAA